RNAcentral lists this ribosomal RNA (380 nucleotides) under uncultured organism. RNAcentral describes it as "partial 16S ribosomal RNA". It matches the Rfam family "Bacterial small subunit ribosomal RNA", at positions 527 to 896 of the family's 1533-position model. The record is from RNAcentral.
GAACCGGACAAACGUUAUUCGGGAAUCAUUUGGGGGCUUAAAGGGGUGCGUAGGCGGCGUAGUAAGUGAGGUGUGAAAGCCCUCGGCUCAACCGAGGGAAUUGCGCUUCAUACUGCUAUGCUUGAGGGAGACAGGGGUAAGCGGAACUGAUGGUGGAGCGGUGAAAUGCGUUGAUAUCAUCAGGAACACCAGUGGCGAAAGCGGCUUACUGGGUCUCUUCUGACGCUGAGGCACGAAAGCUAGGGUAGCGAACGGGAUUAGAUACCCCGGUAGUCCUAGCUGUAAACGAUGAGCACUUGGUCGAGGGGUCCCCCCACUAGAUUCUCGACCGUAGCGAAAGUGUUAAGUGCUCCGCCUGGGGAGUAUGGUCGCAAAGGCUG